AUAUGUAUUCAGCUAGUGUAAACAUGCACGAUGCUAUCACAGUGAAUGCGAGGCUGACACUGAAGCGUUACCUUUUGUUUCCGCUCUGAGACAUGCCGUGUGACUCACUUCCCCGUGCGUACAAGUUAUCUUAGGUCGGUGUUCAUGAUUCGACUUCUGAGAUUCAGAUCGAGUUCUAGGUAAUUUUUUUUUUAUUGGUUGGUUCGACUUUUAAGAAAUUCAAGUUCUAAUGAGUUCGAGAACCGAGGUACCGCUGUAUUUGGUAUAUAACUUGUCAUUUAAUUGCAAUCAAAUAAUAAUAAUUUCAGUAAUUUAUAAUAAUUUGUUUUGUAUAAAAUGUAAUUUUGUUGUGCAAUUAUCUCCCAAGUCAUGAUCAAGAAAAAUAUUUCCGGUACAGUUUCUCACCAUAUUACACCUAAAGGUAUUCCUUUUGGCCUGCCUGUUCCUGAUCACAGAUCCAUAUGUAUUUUGAGGUUGUUUUUCAGCACAGCAUGUUGGCUGCUGUGGAUCAUGCAAGCUGAAGCUUAGCUGCGGACGGCUGUGUACUUUGGUAGAUAGCCGCUGAUGUGUGCUGUUUCCUGGUGUUUGCAUGGGCGAGGUAUCACCAUAAUGGCAGAGGCUUUUCCAAAGGAACCUGGAAUCUGCUGUCGGUGCCCAAUGUGGAAAACAGACUUGCAGAGGUGGCCGGAUUUCACAAAAUCAUACUGACUGAAUUAAUAUCACAUAUUUAGCUCAGGAAUUCAGUUUUGACGGUAUAAUCACUGGCAUUUCAGAGCAGUCUCUGGCAGAUUUUGCUGACUGUAGGUUUAUUUUGUUUCCCUGGAUACCUAGCAGCAAUUUAUAAAUAACUUAUUUUUCAGCUUGACUACCCAGAGCCAGACUAUUUGUGAUGAUUUGGAGCACUGUUAGCCAAGUAUAAGGUGCUAUAUGCCACUUAAUCUAUGUGUCCUACAUAAGCAAAUACAUAUUUAUUACAUAAAAUUGCCCAGGUCUAUGGUCCAGUGAUAUUUAAAUAAAAGCAGGUGUUAUUUAUGACUUUCAAGCAGAUUUCAGUUUAAUGAGUCCAUUUAUAAAACGUUUGACUACAAUUUUACAUAUAGAUCCAAUAGAGAGAUACUUUGCUCUCUAGAGGUAAAAAUUUAUUUGUGCCCAAGGGCAUUUAACAAGGAAAGGCUUUCUUGAGGUGAAGCAGGGGCGGAAGCGGGCGGGACCACCAACCCUGGGUCCGGGGCUUCCCCAGGAUCGUAAAGGGACUUCCCCCCCGCAAACAAAGGACCCUUUCAUAUAGCGAACACACGUGAAAUCAGUGAUAAUUUCUCCGAAAUUCUAAAGAGCUAGAACGUAUUAAUUACAUUGGAACAGUGACUUGCGAUUUUAUAUAUCUGUCAUUUUUGGUAUACAUUCUUAUUAUGGUGGGUAUAUGGUGUAAGUUUUAAUUUUUAGAAAAAAACCCUGUAAAAUCCCUACAGCAAACUUAAAAUAUAAUACAUAGUAAUGUUUUGAAGUCAAACUAAGCUGUUCCUUUUAUAUUUAAUGGUUUUCCGUUUGAGGAAUUCGCAAAAAACUGCAGUGCAUGAUGGGUAGGAUCUAAAGGCUGUCUAACGUCCUCGUCCGUCUGACUACUGUAUAUAGCCCGAUUAUAUGCUGUGGGCCUUUUGUUUGUUUGCAAUUUCGCCAGAUGCCCUGGUUGUACCAAUGCAAGACAAUGGGAUUCUUCAAACCCUAAAGGCUUAUCGAAAAACUACAGUUUGAGUAGAUGCACCAAGGAUAAGGGAAGCCGUGGAAUGCCGCCUUGCAGCCUGAAAUGGACAGGAAGUUUGCCGUUUACCCGCUGCUCUCUGAACACCAGGGGUCCCUUUUGCAGCAACAGUUUCCUGUUCAACUUCCCAGGCUUCCUGUUCCAAGAAUGACCAGACUCCACAAGAAGACACCCUGCUUUACGGAGGAAGAAUACCUCAGCUUGGUUGAAGAGGUCAUUUACUGGCUCCGACAAGCUGAAGUCCAAGAGGACCCAGCGGCUAGAGCCCUCGCCAUCCGGUUGAGGGAAAUCCUAGAGGUGAUUUCCCUGUCUGAGGACUCGCACCUUGCAGAGGAGGUGUGGCAAAACCUGAACCAGCUGAAAGGCUGAAGCAAUGAUAGAGCAGGUAUACCUGGACUGUGAACUGCCUCCUCUCUCACCGUUCGGUUCCCUCCAGCUCCCUGGUUCCCCCUGCCCUUUGCCUCUUCAUUUUAUUCUCUGUUUGUCUGGCCUGGCCCCUUUGUGUUUCUGCCUGGCCACUUCUCCCCUUCAGUUAGUGUUCCCCCCUGUUGGUUUGUCACCUUGUGUUUCUUCGUUGUCCCCUUCCUUGGUGUCUCUGGGUCUUGUGUUUCUGUCCUCGGUUUCCCUGUUUGUGUCUGUUUUGUCAGCUGUUGUCCUGCUAGUCUCUUGUGCCUUUGCUGUUCCCUGUGGUUCGCUGAUGUUUUUGUCUCCCCCAGGUGCUGUUGUGCUCUGAGUCCCGUCAUGUCCGCUGUUUAGUCCCCUUGGUCCCUUCAGGUGUGCCCGGAGUGCGUGCCUUUGAGUGGGGGGGUUCUGUCAUGCGCUGAUCAUUCUGAUCUUCCUGUGUGCCAUGCCCCCUCAUUUACCUCAUGUGGAUUCCUCUUAUCAGCUGUUUCUCGUUAUGUUAAUUAGGUGUAUUUAAGUGAGUUAUUGUGAGUGUCUCCCGAGUCCGGUUAUUAACGUCGUUCCGUGUUCAUGAGUGUGUCUAUUCCAAAUA
Non-coding RNA from Paramormyrops kingsleyae, 2753 nucleotides. The record is from RefSeq and is a predicted model, not a curated record. Lineage: Eukaryota; Metazoa; Chordata; Actinopteri; Osteoglossiformes; Mormyridae.